Molecule: ribosomal RNA, 558 nt
Filed under: Hepatozoon canis
Lineage: Eukaryota; Apicomplexa; Hepatozoidae
Description: SSU rRNA
Source: RNAcentral
CAGCUUUCGACGGUAUGGUAUUGGCUUACCGUGGCAGUGACGGUUAACGGGGGAUUAGGGUUCGAUUCCGGAGAGGGAGCCUGAGAAACGGCUACCACAUCUAAGGAAGGCAGCAGGCGCGCAAAUUACCCAAUUCUAACAGUUUGAGAGAGGUAGUAACAAGAAAUAACAAUACAAGGCAAUUAAAAUGYUUUGUAAUUGGAAUGAUAGAAAUUUAAACCCUUUUUAAAGUAUCAAUUGGAGGGCAAGUCUGGUGCCAGCAGCCGCGGUAAUUCCAGCUCCAAUAGCGUAUAUUAAAAUUGUUGCAGUUAAAAAGCUCGUAGUUGAAGUUCUGYUAAAAGUAACCGGUCUGCUUUUAAUAAAAGUGGUAUCUUGGUGUGUAUUUAGCAAUGAUGUCCUUUGAAGUGUUUUUUACUUUAUUGUAAUAAAGCAUAUUCAGGACUUUUACUUUGAGAAAAUUAGAGUGUUUCUAGCAGGCCGACGCUUUGAAUACUGCAGCAUGGAAUAAUAAGAUAGGAUUUUAGUUCUACAUUAUUGGUUUUAAGAGCUAAAUUAAUG